UUCACUUAGGGAGAGGAGUCCCUCUUGUCAACUUAUGGAGACUUCUCCACAAGAAAACAGUACUCUUGUGGCUUUUAAUUGCCACGACAGCAGCUGUCCCAGAACUUGCAAUCGUGAAGUCCCUCCCAUCUUUCACAGCUUUCCCACAAUGCAUUUAUGGACCACCUCAACUUAUGGGGUACUAUUUUAAGGAUGAGCUGUUCAAGAGUAAAGUUUCUCUUUCUCUAUAUCUGAGAUCAUCUCUAGGAACAGAGGUCUUCUUCUUUCCCUGAGGGCAAAGUGUCUUCAUUACCCUUCUCUCUCUGUUCAGACUUCUUAUGAGAUCACAGCUACUUCAGCAUCUGCUUGCUUUAACACAGAUGCCUUUGCUCAUAUCUACAAUUUGAACACUCCAUCCCCCAUAUUUUUCAAUGAGUUACAGGGAAAAAGAGUCUGAUGUAUCAAUUAUAUUCUUCUCCAUAGCUUUACAAGAGGAUUUCAGCCCAAAACAAAAGGCAUCUCCUCAUCCCUCCCAUCUGGGACUUGACUCCUCCUUCUCUGACUUUGGUGUCUUCAUGUUGUUCCUCUGCGUGUCUUCACCCUGUCCUUUUCUCUCAGCUGAGGGAGGAUUGCAGGUCUGCAAGUCUCAUCUGUGCACUGAAAGAGUUAAUAUCUCACCCGAGGCCUGCAGAUGGUCGUGUGGCCCCAGCCGGGCUCGACACGGAGGAAACUGCUAGCAACUUCUCUUAGAACAUCACUUCCGUGAAUGCAAAGCCAGCACAGCAGUGGAAAUGUGAUGAACGAGAUGUGAAGCUAUCUUACAGUUAUCAGCUACUUCAAAUGAAAAACAAGUCAAUAAAUUACUGAGCAUUGACAUUUGAGGGAUAAAGUUUGUUUGAGAAGCUGACAUUGCUCAAACGUUAAACUCUUUAUCAAGUUAAUUGAACUAGUAUUGUUCUUCAAAUUUUUACUGAACAGACAGCAUUUAAAUUUGUUCCAUGUUAUCGAGUUUGGUUCUGCAUUGUGGGAGAUAAGAAAAGCCUACCAGAAUAUGGGCCCUUUUCACUGUUGUUAAAUGCUCUUCACUUCUGUUCACUCUUGCUCUGCAGAAAGCAGUCUGGGAAAGGUUCAGCUAACAGCGAGGUAAAAACCAGGUUAUAGAACCAGAGAACAAGUUGUAUAACUCGUGUGUGGUCACAUCAUGCGUGGGGCAGUGAUAGGUUGGGGAGAUGCAUGGACACUGGUGAUCGAAAAGGUAUUUGGUUAAAAGGUCAUAUGAACAGCAACACCUGCAGUGGCAGGCAGUCAAUGCAUGCUUGUUUUGCUGAUGUUUAGAGCAUUAAAAGGUCGGGUUUUUUGCAAUAGAUGAUUUCUGUUUACGACUUAUAAAAGGGAGUCCGUAUAUCUUUAUUCCUCAUUGCUACACUGCAUAUAGUAAUUUUCCUUUUCACAUUCUUCCCAUGUACACAUGCAAUGAAAUAGGCUAAAAAUAUAAUUUACACCACCAAAAAAAAGUGCUUUAAUGUAAAUGCAAAGUAGAAGUUAGGUCUUUUUUUAGUAUUUGCUCUCGCCUUGUAGUUUUACAGCAGUGAGUUUCAUGGAUAUGAUAGGACCCUAGAAGUUAUUACUGAGCUUGGAGUACUUCUGUGGUCUAUUCCAUUGCUGUGAAAUGCACUCUUUUAUUUUUCUUCUACUUCCUAUAUUUAUUUAAAAUAAGUGAUAGUGGCUUUGAGCGUUGAAAUAGAAAAUACAAUGCUGGAAUUAGAUGGUUUAUAGUAAUUUAUUUCAGUGCAAAACUUUGAUUUGCCCUGGAAAACAGAGUCUUAUGUUCGUUUUGGAGUAGUGACAGCCCCCUGCAGGGGAUGGAAUUUAAAUGCAGUAUCAUUAGCAUUCCUGUAAAUGUAGACGUACCAAAAGAAACCAUAACAAUUUUCAUAUUUACUGGUGUCAUUAAACACUUCUUUUGUCAAACUUG
Passer domesticus (house sparrow) is the source of this 1954-nucleotide long non-coding RNA. RefSeq lists it as uncharacterized. The record is from RefSeq and is a predicted model, not a curated record. Lineage: Eukaryota; Metazoa; Chordata; Aves; Passeriformes; Passeridae. The transcript has 2 exons.